RNAcentral lists this ribosomal RNA (443 nucleotides) under uncultured bacterium. RNAcentral describes it as "partial 16S ribosomal RNA". It matches the Rfam family "Bacterial small subunit ribosomal RNA", at positions 338 to 795 of the family's 1533-position model. The record is from RNAcentral.
CCUACGGGUGGCAGCAGUGGGGAAUAUUGGGCAAUGGGCGCAAGCCUGACCCAGCAACGCCGCGUGAAGGAAGAAGGCUUUCGGGUUGUAAACUUCUUUUCUGAGGGACGAAGAAACUGACGGUACCUCCGGAAUAAGCCACGGCUAACUACGUGCCAGCAGCCGGGGUAAUACGUCGGGGGCAAGCGUUCACCGGAUUUAUUGGGGGUAAAGGGCGUGGAGGGGGGAAAGCAAGUCAGAUGUGAAAACCCGGGGCUCAACCCCGAGCCUGCAUUUGAAACGGUUUGUCUUGAGUGCUGGAGAGGCAAGCGGAAUGCCGUGUGUAGCGGUGAAAUGCGUAGAUAUACGGAGGAACACCAGUGGCGAAGGCGGAUUGCUGGACAGUAACUGACGCUGAGGCGCGAAAGCGUGGGGAGCAAACAGGAUUAGAUACCCUUGUAGUC